CUUGCUGAUGGAUGGCGGCUGGUCUGGUACGGUACCUACAUAUAUGUGUGUAUAUGAAUGUUUCUGAACUCAUAAAUAUAAGUACACACAACUCCAGUGUGAUGAGUUGAAGUUGGAGAAAUACUCGACCCAAACACCACCACCACCAGCUUUAUAACACCCGGCCUCGCGAUAAACUCUGGUGCGAGAACAAGGAAUCCAGCAGUAAAAGGGGCAAAGAACAACGGCAAAACCAACAACAACGGACGGAGACGAUAUCAGCACAAAGCAAAACGGACGAAACAGCACCACGACGGUUCUUUUACGGUGUCCUCCUGAACUAGUCCUAGUUUACUUUUGUCCACCAUCGACGUCACAUCUCUCCAAUAGUUCUGCGCGUGUGUUUCGAUUUCGGUUGAAUUUCAAACAGCUCAUUCGGAUUUUUUUCAUCAAGAAAAACCCCCGGCGACCACGUUUAGUUACACGGUUUCGGUCCAGAAUACAUACGUCCGUACGACAUUUUGUGUUCCCAAUCUUUCGGAAUUAAUCCAGGUCAAACACGAAAGGAUCUGUUGUAGAAAGCAUACGAAGUCGUGUGAUUUUCGACUAAAUAACCGUUUCUAAUUUUGGUCCUGAAGCCUCCAGGUGGUGGAAGCAGCGAUAUCUUUGGAGCCGACCAGCAAACUCCACGCAGCAUGAACAAGAACCGGAUGCAGUCCAACAUCUUCGCCGAGGGCCAGAAGAAUGGAGUUUUCCGACAAGGCGCCCACAGAUACUACUAUUUCGGUACUUGUUUUUGACUAAUUGUCCCAUUCGUUGAAAUGUUCAAUCUCAAUUACCUUUUACCCCGUUCGUUCAUUACAUGUU
Long non-coding RNA from Uranotaenia lowii, 846 nucleotides. RefSeq lists it as uncharacterized. The record is from RefSeq and is a predicted model, not a curated record. The transcript is spliced from 3 exons. Lineage: Eukaryota; Metazoa; Arthropoda; Insecta; Diptera; Culicidae.